UCUGACAUAGGGAAUAUAUAAAAUCGUGGUAGUUUCAGUGAGCAACUAUUAGUCCACCAGAUUCAUUGACCGGUACGCGCGCGCUUUCGAUUAUCCUCGAUUUUUAUCGAAUUCCGAUUUUCGAAAUUUGGUGGUGCCGGUCCAAGUUCAUAUUUUUCAAUUUCAAGAAACUGACAUAAUUUCUUUUCCAAACAUGUCGAGACUCAGUGUUUAUCUUGUUUUUGUCAAUUUCCACGUGUUUUUAGCGCGAAAUGUGUUCGCCUGCCUCGGAAAGACAAUGCUCAAAGCUGGAGGAUUGACCUGCCAGGACAAGCAAACCAUUCUAGACGAACAUAAUCGGCUUCGUCAGAUGGUGGCAUUGGGGCAAAUUCAUGGUCAACCUGGAGCAGUUAAUAUGAUGGAGAUGGUUUGGGAUGAUGAACUGGCAGUAGUUGCACAAAAAUGGGCCGAUAGUUGUGCCGAAACACAUGACACAUCUCGAGAUGUUCAUUUGCUGUUGGACAAAAUAUUGCAAGGACCUGGACAACGAGACCCCCAGGACCCUAUGACUCGGAGCCGAACUGGAGGCGAAGAAUCUUCGGCUGGUUCAAUGAGGUGCAACACUAUAAUACUGGUUUUAGCCGCUCUACCGGUCACUACACACAGCUCGUUUGGAGUGAAACUUUUCUCGUCGGUUGUGGAUAUUCUUUUUACUAUGACCCAGCUAGAGGAUACACCAAAAACUACGUCUGCAAUUACGGUCCAAGUGGCAAUGUCUUAGGAUUCAAACCUUAUCAAUCUGGAGAGCCGGCUUGCAAUUCUUUUGGAAUGUCAUUUUCAAAUCGAUAUUCAGGCCUUUGUUCCCACGGAUCUUACUACCAUUUAGGAGCAUACUGCGCUUACGGUUAAAGAAAAAUUCUGUCUCAUGAAAUCGAGCAGAAAAGUCGCUUGGAAUGGUUCAACAUCAAAGCAAACUUCGUUAAGACAAGAUGAAAAAGAAAAUCUUACUUUGUAAAAGUCUUUUGGAUGUAGUCGCACAAAGAAAUGAUAACAAAAAACACUAAUAGGAAAAGAGUAAAAAUUUGUAACAAAGAAAAAU
Molecule: RNA transcript, 1078 nt
Organism: Leptopilina heterotoma
Lineage: Eukaryota; Metazoa; Arthropoda; Insecta; Hymenoptera; Figitidae
Gene name: venom allergen 5-like
Exons: 7
Source: RefSeq, a predicted model, not a curated record